UUAAUUGAUUUUGUCAAACACUUUAGUUAAACAACUCUUCACAUUUAUUCUUAGAAACAAACUCAAAUGCUGAAACAUCUUGUCCCACAUGUUGCCUAAUAUACAUCUUGUACAUAUGUUGUUUUUCCUAAUGCAUCCAACCAAAAAGACCUAAACUCUUCUCCAUCGUUGUUCCAUACGUAAUUCCAAAUCUCUUAUGUACUAAAAUUUAU
Molecule: long non-coding RNA, 212 nt
Filed under: Lathyrus oleraceus (garden pea)
Lineage: Eukaryota; Viridiplantae; Streptophyta; Magnoliopsida; Fabales; Fabaceae
Description: Pisum sativum (pea) long non-coding RNA (PSAT_LNC009248)
Source: RNAcentral